AUUUUCCACAAUGGGGGCAACCCUGAUGGAGCAACGCCGCGUGCAGGAUGAAAGCCUUCGGGUUGUAAACUGCUUUUGUCUGUGACGAAUAUGACGGUAGCAGACGAAUAAGGAUCGGCUAACUACGUGCCAGCAGCCGCGGUCCUACGUAGGAUCCAAGCGUUAUCCGGAUUUACUGGGCGUAAAGAUUUGCGUAGGCGGCAGAACAAGUUAGUAGUGAAAUCGUAUGGCUCAACCAUAUUCACAUUGCUAAAACUGUUCAGCUUGAGAAUGAGAGAGGUCACUGGAAUUCCUUGUGUAGGAGUGAAAUCCGUAGAUACAAGGAGGAACACCGAUGGCGUAGGCAGGUGACUGGCUCAUUUCUGACGCUAAGGCACGAAAGCGUGGGGAGCGAACGGG
Molecule: ribosomal RNA, 399 nt
Filed under: uncultured bacterium
Lineage: Bacteria
Description: partial 16S ribosomal RNA
Rfam family: Bacterial small subunit ribosomal RNA
Source: RNAcentral